UAACACACUUCAAAACAGACAACAUUAUUUGCAAACAUGGAUGGAUGAGUCAAAAAGAGACGUAUACCUUGUGCCAUACAUUGAUGGGUAGGUGUUGUUAUAUGUGGCCAGUUCAUUAUUAUAGUUUCCUUAAUUACUUAAAUAACUAUUUAUCCUUUAUGAUAGCAUGCACUGGCAGCUGAUGGUCAUCAUUCCCAAAGCAUGUAAAAUUAUAUGGUUUUGUUCGUUGCAUAGGAAGAUGAAAAAUGACUUGAGAACAAUGCUUCAAGGAGUUAUUGGUAAAUCACGUGGUCAACUGGUUCAAAUUUUGUAUCCAAAGUGUAACCAGCAGCUAGAUUCAUGGGAAUGUGGCUUCUAUGUGAUGUGUUGGAUUAAGACCAUCA
Molecule: long non-coding RNA, 383 nt
Organism: Vigna angularis (adzuki bean)
Lineage: Eukaryota; Viridiplantae; Streptophyta; Magnoliopsida; Fabales; Fabaceae
Exons: 3
Source: RefSeq, a predicted model, not a curated record